GACGAACGCUGGCGGCGUGCUUAACACAUGCAAGUCGAACGGAAAGGCCCUGCUUGCAGGGUACUCGAGUGGCGAACGGGUGAGUAACACGUGGGUGAUCUGCCCUGCACUUCGGGAUAAGCCUGGGAAACUGGGUCUAAUACCGGAUAGGAGCCAUUUUUAGUGUGAUGGUUGGAAAGUUUUUUCGGUGUAGGAUGAGCUCGCGGCCUAUCAGCUUGUUGGUGGGGUAAUGGCCUACCAAGGCGGCGACGGGUAGCCGGCCUGAGAGGGUGGACGGCCACAUUGGGACUGAGAUACGGCCCAGCAUCCUACGGGAGGCAGCAGUGGGGAAGAUUGCACAAUGGGCGCAAGCCUGAUGCAGCGACGCCGCGUGGGGGAUGACGGCCUUCGGGUUGUAAACUCCUUUCGCUAGGGACGAAGCUUUUUGUGACGGUACCUAGAUAAGAAGCACCGGCUAACUACGUG
This 465-nucleotide ribosomal RNA is filed under the name uncultured bacterium. Its description in RNAcentral is "partial 16S ribosomal RNA". It matches the Rfam family "Bacterial small subunit ribosomal RNA", at positions 28 to 507 of the family's 1533-position model. The record is from RNAcentral.